UACGAAGGGGGCUAGCGUUGCUCGGAAUCACUGGGCGUAAAGGGUGCGUAGGCGGGUCUUUAAGUCAGGGGUGAAAUCCUGGAGCUCAACUCCAGAACUGCCUUUGAUACUGAGGAUCUUGAGUACGGGAGAGGUGAGUGGAACUGCGAGUGUAGAGGUGAAAUUCGUAGAUAUUCGCAAGAACACCAGUGGCGAAGGCGGCUCACUGGCCCGUAACUGACGCUGAGGUGCGAAAGCGUGGGGAGCAAACAGG
RNAcentral lists this ribosomal RNA (253 nucleotides) under uncultured bacterium. RNAcentral describes it as "partial 16S ribosomal RNA". It matches the Rfam family "Bacterial small subunit ribosomal RNA", at positions 524 to 776 of the family's 1533-position model. The record is from RNAcentral.